Molecule: ribosomal RNA, 465 nt
Filed under: Vreelandella stevensii
Lineage: Bacteria; Pseudomonadati; Pseudomonadota; Gammaproteobacteria; Oceanospirillales; Halomonadaceae
Description: partial 16S ribosomal RNA
Rfam family: Bacterial small subunit ribosomal RNA
Source: RNAcentral
CCUACGGGGCGCUGCAGUGGGGAAUAUUGGACAAUGGGGGCAACCCUGAUCCAGCCAUGCCGCGUGUGUGAAGAAGGCCCUCGGGUUGUAAAGCACUUUCAGUGAGGAAGAACGCCUGGUGGUUAAUACCCAUCAGGAAAGACAUCACUCACAGAAGAAGCACCGGCUAACUCCGUGCCAGCAGCCGCGGUAAUACGGAGGGUGCGAGCGUUAAUCGGAAUUACUGGGCGUAAAGCGCGCGUAGGUGGCUUGAUAAGCCGGUUGUGAAAGCCCCGGGCUCAACCUGGGAACGGCAUCCGGAACUGUCAAGCUAGAGUGCAGGAGAGGAAGGUAGAAUUCCCGGUGUAGCGGUGAAAUGCGUAGAGAUCGGGAGGAAUACCAGUGGCGAAGGCGGCCUUCUGGACUGACACUGACACUGAGGUGCGAAAGCGUGGGUAGCAAACAGGAUUAGAUACCCCAGUAGGC